RNAcentral lists this ribosomal RNA (1375 nucleotides) under uncultured bacterium. RNAcentral describes it as "16S ribosomal RNA". It matches the Rfam family "Bacterial small subunit ribosomal RNA", at positions 28 to 1381 of the family's 1533-position model. The record is from RNAcentral.
GAUGAACGCUGGCGGCGUGCCUAAUACAUGCAAGUCGAGCGAACGGACGAGAAGCUUGCUUCUCUGAUGUUAGCGGCGGACGGGUGAGUAACACGUGGAUAACCUACCUAUAAGACUGGGAUAACUUCGGGAAACCGGAGCUAAUACCGGAUAAUAUUUUGAACCGCAUGGUUCAAAAGUGAAAGACGGUCUUGCUGUCACUUAUAGAUGGAUCCGCGCUGCAUUAGCUAGUUGGUAAGGUAACGGCUUACCAAGGCAACGAUGCAUAGCCGACCUGAGAGGGUGAUCGGCCACACUGGAACUGAGACACGGUCCAGACUCCUACGGGAGACAGCAGUAGGGAAUCUUCCGCAAUGGGCGAAAGCCUGACGGAGCAACGCCGCGUGAGUGAUGAAGGUCUUCGGAUCGUAAAACUCUGUUAUUAGGGAAGAACAUAUGUGUAAGUAACUGUGCACAUCUUGACGGUACCUAAUCAGAAAGCCACGGCUAACUACGUGCCAGCAGCCGCGGUAAUACGUAGGUGGCAAGCGUUAUCCGGAAUUAUUGGGCGUAAAGCGCGCGUAGGCGGUUUUUUAAGUCUGAUGUGAAAGCCCACGGCUCAACCGUGGAGGGUCAUUGGAAACUGGAAAACUUGAGUGCAGAAGAGGAAAGUGGAAUUCCAUGUGUAGCGGUGAAAUGCGCAGAGAUAUGGAGGAACACCAGUGGCGAAGGCGACUUUCUGGUCUGUAACUGACGCUGAUGUGCGAAAGCGUGGGGAUCAAACAGGAUUAGAUACCCUGGUAGUCCACGCCGUAAACGAUGAGUGCUAAGUGUUGGUCUCAUAAGAGAUCAGUGCUGCAGCUAACGCAUUAAGCACUCCGCCUGGGGAGUACGACCGCAAGGUUGAAACUCAAAGGAAUUGACGGGGACCCGCACAAGCGGUGGAGCAUGUGGUUUAAUUCGAAGCAACGCGAAGAACCUUACCAAGUCUUGACAUACUGUGAGGACACAAGAGACUGUGUUGUUCUGACCUUUGGUUAGACACAGAUACAGGUGGUGCAUGGUUGUCGUCAGCUCGUGUCGUGAGAUGUUGGGUUAAGUCCCGCAACGAGCGCAACCCUUAUAUCUAGUUGCCAGCAGUAAGAUGGGGACUCUAGAUAGACUGCCAGUGAUAAACUGGAGGAAGGUGGGGAUGACGUCAAAUCAUCAUGCCCCUUAUGACUUGGGCUACACACGUGCUACAAUGGAUAGGAACAAAGAGAAGCGAGCUCGCGAGAGUAAGCAAACCUCACAAAACUAUUCUCAGUUCGGAUUGUAGUCUGCAACUCGACUACAUGAAGCUGGAAUCGCUAGUAAUCGCGAAUCAGAAUGUCGCGGUGAAUACGUUCCCGGGUCU